GAUGAACGCUGGCGGCGUGCUUAACACAUGCAAGUCGAGCGGGAAAUACUUUAUUGAAACUUCGGUCGAUUUAAUCUAUUUCUAGUGGCGGACGGGUGAGUAACGCGUGGGUAACCUGCCUUAUACUGGGGGAUAACAGCCAGAAAUGACUGCUAAUACCGCAUAAGCGCACGGGGCCGCAUGGUCCUGUGUGAAAAACUCCGGUGGUAUAAGAUGGACCCGCGUUGGAUUAGCUAGUUGGCAGGGCAGCGGCCUACCAAGGCGACGAUCCAUAGCCGGCCUGAGAGGGUGAACGGCCACAUUGGGACUGAGACACGGCCCAGACUCCUACGGGAGGCAGCAGUGGGGAAUAUUGCACAAUGGGGGAAACCCUGAUGCAGCGACGCCGCGUGAAGGAAGAAGUAUCUCGGUAUGUAAACUUCUAUCAGCAGGGAAGAUA
Molecule: ribosomal RNA, 439 nt
Filed under: uncultured bacterium
Lineage: Bacteria
Description: bacterial SSU rRNA
Rfam family: Bacterial small subunit ribosomal RNA
Source: RNAcentral